Long non-coding RNA from Chenopodium quinoa (quinoa), 2418 nucleotides. RefSeq lists it as uncharacterized. The transcript has 7 exons. The record is from RefSeq and is a predicted model, not a curated record. NCBI's taxonomy places the organism in Eukaryota, Viridiplantae, Streptophyta, Magnoliopsida, Caryophyllales, Amaranthaceae.
CUUUUUAACGCCGAUACCUGCAAAAAGCAUUAAUUCUACAAAUAAAGGAGGUAAGAAACGUGUAUCUUGCACCAUCGGGUACACGUCUUAGCGCGACAUCAAUUUGCUGAAUCAAAUUUUCUUUGCGUGGCAAAUUCCACAUCUUAGGGAGCGCCAUCGAAGAUCGCAAUGCUUUGCCAUCUUCAAAUUCAAGUGACAACCUCCACAUUUUAGGGAAUGUCAUCGAAGAUCGUUGUGCUUAACCAUCUUCAAAUCAAAGUGACAACCUCCACAUCUUAGGGAAUGUUGUCGAAGAUUGCAGUGCUUAGCCAUCUUCAAGUCAAAGAAAGACAACCUCCACAUCUUAGGGAAUGUUUUCGAAGAUCUCAAUGCUUAGCCAUCUUCAAGUCAAAGAAAGACAACCUCCACAUCUUAGGGAAUGUUGUGAAGAUCGCAAUGCUUAGCCAUCUUUCACUACUAGAAAUAGGCUUAUUUCCAAGGGAAAUGUUCCGACGGAAUAUAAUUCCCAGGAAAAUUCAAAAAUUCAGGCGGAAAUUGUAGUUGUAGGAAAAAUCCGUCGGAAUAGUUGCAUACCGACGGAAAAUUCCCUCGGUAACGUUCCGACAGAUUUUAUUUCCCUCGGAAUAUUCUGGUUCCGACAUAAUAUUCCCUCGGAAACGCUUCCGACGGAAAUUAUUCCCUCGGAAAAUUCAGGUUCCGACGGAAAAUUCUGUUGGAAACUGAGUUUUUCGAGGGAAUAAUUUCCGUCAGAAGCUUAGAACAUUAAAAAAAACACGCGUUUUACAGAACAGAACAGAAACACAAAAAUGCAGACAGAGAAACGGAGAGCGAGACAGAGGAAGAGGAAGAGGAAGAGAGAGAAAGGGAGAAGGAGAAAGAGGAAGAGAGAGAGGGCCACGCAGACGCCGAACCGCCCCUUCGCUGUUGCACCGCCGCCGGUAAGUUGUGGUUUUAUUUUUUUUUAUUUUUUUUCCGGAAAACCCUAACCUCCAUGUCACCUAGGGCUUACCGGAAAACCCUAACAACCACCAACCCCAAAGCCUCACUCUCCGGCCGGUCCACAACCACACCGCCCACCAGCCGCUGCCAGCAGAUUGAAUUGGUUCUUUGGCAAUAACAUCUACAGAUCUACAGGUAGUCAUGGCGGGUGGAAAAAGUGGGCAAUCGUCGAAGAAAGUAAAGGGGAAAGAGAAAAUGACCGCCCGCGCCCUUUUCAACGACGGCCAGGAUGAGGAGAUGUUCGAAGGCAGCCGAUUUGGGUGAGGAUUAGACGCCCACAUCCACUCCUCCAGAAGAUGGGCCACGGGAUGAGUCACAGGACGAGUCACAAGAUGAGUCACAGCUCCCGUGUUUGGACCAUACUAUGUUGUGGUUUGAUGAUCCUAAGGUUCGGAGUGCGGUAUCCGGUACGAUUACUGGAUACUACCGAGGCCCUUGGAGGAACUUUGGAGAAGUUCCUGCAGCUACGAAGGAACACUGGUGGAAAUUGUUCAGCGCACAAUUCAGAUGGGCACCCCAGAUGAACGAGCUAGUGAAGCUCACAUUUCGGAGGAGGGUAGCAACACGCCUGACAUGUUCCACACCAUCACGCAAAAGAUGAAUGGCGCCAAGCCAAGUUGGCUGAGUGAGGAGAUCCACAAGGAGAUGAUGAACAUUGUUGCAUCGGAUCCAACUUACAAGGAGAGGUCGGCGCAAAACAAGAACAGAAGGGGCGGUUCUAUGGAAAAUCCCGUCUGAGGGACCCACUUUCAGGGUUCAUUGUCAGCGACCCAACAUGCAAAAAGGAUGGCGGCGAAGAACAAGGGCCAGCUGCCAACAGCUCCUGAGCUGUUUCUGAAGACACACUUCAAGGAGUUGCCUGGGAAAGCCACAGUGGCAGUAAACCCCACAGCUUAGGAAAUUGCGGAGGCCUACCGAAAGAGGGUUGAGGAGGCUAGCACUCAAAGGACUCAGAAGAGUCCGAAUGAGCUGUACUAGGAGACAGUGGGUGGUCAGAACAAAAAAGGACGUGUGAAGGGACUUGGCGGAAGUGCUGACCUUUACUAUGGCAGUCAGAUGGGUCGACUUUCCACAUCUUCCAUGUAGUACACGCCCUCCCUUGUUUCUCAGAUGCAAGAUCAGGUGGAAAUAAAGGUGUAGGCUCUUCGGGAAGAAAUAGAACUCGAGAUGCAAGCCCGAGUUCAAGUCUCAGUAAGAGCCCAAAUGGAAGAAAUGGAGAAGAGGUUGGAAGAGAGGAUGAUGAGUCGUUACCACAACGACCCUUGUUCCACCGUGCGACCUCCAUUUCGAGAUCCCAGGGACGACGACCCGGGUAGUGGUGGAGCAUGCACUCCCGCAGUUGCUUAGCUGUAAUUAACGUAGUGUUUAUUAGUACUAAUUUUAGAUUACAUUACUUGGCUUUACAGAUUAGAAUUAGUA